This is a long non-coding RNA of Mesocricetus auratus (golden hamster), 2906 nucleotides long. RefSeq lists it as uncharacterized. The record is from RefSeq and is a predicted model, not a curated record. Lineage: Eukaryota; Metazoa; Chordata; Mammalia; Rodentia; Cricetidae. The transcript is spliced from 6 exons.
GAGCUUGGCCUGGGUCCCAUGAGUCUGUGCAGCUACAAACAAGCCUGGUGCUGCUGUGACACAGACGAGGCCGGAGGAACAGGAUCAAGGAUCUACAUUAUGGCGGCCCUCAUGAGGUAGCACGGCACUGAUUCCUGGGAGGGGCCAUCACCACCCAGUGAAGCCAGUACCUUCACCAUCCCCAUGCUUCCAAUGGGGAAACUGAAGCCAGAGAAGAUCUGAGGAUCAGCAGUUGCAAAACACCAAGUCCCACGUCUACACUGCUGGAGACACCGCCAUGUGUUAGCCGGUAACAUGGGAGUGUGCUUGCAUUUGCCAAGGCCCUGUGGUUAGCGUCCACACACGGUUAGAUGUUACACUCUCAGAGCGGGGUGUGUUCAUGGAGGAAAAGAGAAAAGUGGAGACUCAGAGACGCUCCUCCAGAAUGACGUGGUGGAGGGCAUCAGGCACCAGUGCAUGGGCUGGUGCCACCACAGCUAGGUGGAUCUUCCCACAUCGAUUAGCUUCAUCUAGAAACUUCCUCAUGAGCUCAGAGUCUCCUUACUUCCAUGACUCUAGAUCCCACCGAAGCAGCAGUCAGCAUCAACUGCCACACUCACAGAGACCCCAUCUCAAAAUAAAAAGAAGUAGGAAGUCAGUGGGGCUGGGAUUACAGGUCAGCAGUGGAGUGCUUGCGUAGCUCACGCAAGGUCCUGGGUCCGUCCUUUGCAUUCCGUUAGCUGUGCUUCCUGGCAACUCUCCACCGGCAUUGGAUGCUUUGGUCCUUUUUACAACUGAAUAAUACGCCAUUGCACAGAGAGAUGUGAGCAAGUUGUCCCACACUCCAUGGCCACUGUGAACUCCACCAUGACUCCCCUGGCAAGAAUGCAGCCACUCAAACCAUGGGCCAAUAUAAAGCCUUCCUCUACAUCACUCCUGUCAGGCGGUGUCUUGGUGACGACAGGAGAAGCAGCAUAAGGAUUACAAGCAUGUGUCAACAUGAUCAGCAUUUUCCGUGGGAUCAGAACUCAGGUCCUCAUGUUUGCACAGGCCUCUGCAUUGGCUUUGCUUAGCCUUUGUGCGACAACGACUCAUAGCUUUGCAUCUGUGUGUCUGUGAGUAGCCCCCCAUGCUUACCCUACACAACACUGCUGACCAUCAACCUGCAUGCCCCAAGGGGUCAGCCCUCUGGGCUGAUGGCACCAAGUUAGAGCCCUUGAUGCCAAAUGCAAGCUGUUUGCUCCAAGCUUGUAACAUAGCCAACCACAUGCACUUCUAUUUUAAAAUAGAAAAUCUUUGGCCCCGAGACCUUAACUUCAUCAUUGGAAAGCAGGGAGAGCCUCAUGCUUAAUUGCUAGAGAUGACACUGAGAGGGGAGAGGGAGAGGAAUGGGAGUGUCCCAGUCCCUGAUGUCACAGGCCUCACUGCUGAGCUCACAGAUGCUGUGGAGUGGAGGAGGCUGACAGAGACAGGGACGUGGCCAGUGUUCCUGGAAGCACUCAGCCUCCUGGUCACACAAUCCACUUUGAUUGGGGGCAACAAGAAGAUCUGAUACCUAGGAACCUGUGGACAAGAAGAAUUCUGGUGGAUCACUCACGUGAUUCCAGUUGGGAUCAUUUGGACAGAGAGAAACGAAGGUGCUGACUGCUUGGUGGACCUGGGGGCUGAGGAGUAACAGACAAAGGGUGGAGGGAAAACAUUUCCUAAUCUUUCUGUGAACUCUCCCUGAAGGUUGAUUGGCCAAGCAGGGCCAUGUGCUCACAGGCAGUCACAAGAGAGAUUGGAAAAGAGUCUGUCUGGAACAGAAAGGAAUAGGAACCUGCAGGGCUUCCAGAAUGCACGGUCACAUGCUCACUAAAGGAAGAAUUCUGCUUUGGUCCUGGGACUGCCAUCAAGCUGUUUCUUCACUUGUCCGUUGCUCGUCACAUGUGCCGUGGAGAAGGUGUCUGCUACAGUUCAGUAAUCCUCAGUAAGAACCAGAGGGAGUUCCUCCGCUGGAUCAGGAGGAGCUGCAGAGUUGCACAGGGGACACCUGACCCCUGUCUCACACUGCAGACAAGACUUCAUUUCAAACGCACUGGAAAUCUCAGUAUAAGAGCUAAUACAUGGAUCUUUUAGAAGAAACCUGCAGAAACACAAAUUCAUCUAGUUGCAUAGAUAAGUCAGGAUCUGCAGACAUUUAAAAGCUUUCUCUUUGGAGAUUAAAAAACAACAACAAACAAAUAAAGCAAACAAAGGACUGUAAGAAAUGGUCUCAAGAUGUUUAUCUGAAAAAUGUCUUGUAUCCAAAAUACAUCUAGAACUUUUACAACUCAUCAUUAAGUUAACGCCUCAAUUUUUUAAAUGGCUGAUACUUCUGCACAGACCCCACACAGAGGCAGGAAGAUCCAGCAGGCACAUAGUAGGACACUUGGCACCGCCAUCACCCCAGAAUGCAAAUGGAAGCUAUAGUGUGGUAGAAAUUCCCACCUUCCAGAGAGGUUAAAAUUAAAAGCACACAUUCACAAAAAGGCUGCAGACAAGUGCUCAGAGUCUCAGUCACAACAGCCAAAGGUGAAUACAGCCCCAAAGACUGUCACCAGGUCAGCAGGUAAAUCAGGUACGCCUAUGUGAUGGAGCAGUGAAAAGGAACACGGUUGUCAUUGCUUAGGUGAUCGAGGACAUUUAAGACAUAUUUGCAUGAAAAAUUCAAAUCCAAAGGAUCCAAGACCUGUGGUCACACUGCUCGGAACUCCAGAGCCAGCUGUGCCAGGCUGCAGUUGCAGAAAUUGGAUUGGAGGCUUGGAAAAGAUUGAGGGCUUGGCGGAGGGCAGCUUCUGUGCUAGUAUAAAUGAACAGAAUAGACAGGUUCUGGGUUUCCAUGGCACACAGCUGGCAAGGUUUAAAGUGGGAUCAUCUUACGUAAAUAAACUUUACUUCGAACUUCA